Non-coding RNA from Callorhinus ursinus (northern fur seal), 754 nucleotides. NCBI's taxonomy places the organism in Eukaryota, Metazoa, Chordata, Mammalia, Carnivora, Otariidae. The record is from RefSeq and is a predicted model, not a curated record.
CAUGACUAAAGCCCGUUGGUCGCAGAAUUAAAACUCUAGAUUUUUGAUGCCCCAGGCUAACCCUUUUUCAAAACUGGAGAUUUGAAAAAUACAGGAAAGGAAGUAAUUGAUUACAUUUCUCCCAGACGGAAUGUUAUUUUGGCAAGCGUCCUACCUUGAAAUACGCUCUGCCGGGAUCCGAGAUUGCGACUUUUAACCCUUAAUUGAGCUAAAGAGGCAUUUCUUCCCCUGGACUUCGUCCUCGCGGGCAACUAGGAGCCCAUCAUGGCCUCAGCUGGUUGGAGUGCUCAGCUGUCGCAGGGUACCAGUAUUUUGCUGUGAAUAGGUGAACACUUUUCUAUGUCUCCUUGAACAUGUGUAAUGUUUCUCCAGAAGACACACCUAGAAGUGGAAUUGCUGGGUUGUCAGGCACGAGGAGUCUGACCCUGAAUCUGCUCACCUCUGGGUAAACUCGAAAAGUCAAUCCUAGACCAGUGUGACGUGAAGGAGAUAAAAAUGUGUAAAACUCUGCCUGCUGGCCUGCUGGCUUCUAUCACUGCCACCUCUAGAUCAAUCGUCCGGUUACUGACCAGAGUAUUUACUUUGCUCUAAAGCUGAAAAUAAAACAUCCCAAAAUUUUAAGCCUGGGAGGGGUGGUUUCACAAGAUCUUCUUCAGUUUUCUUUGUAUUAUUUUUCUGUAUAAUGUGACUAUAUUAAAUACAUUAUUUCCUGCCUCCCAUCAGGUCAAGGAAAUAAAGCUGAAUGAAACCAAAA